This 453-nucleotide RNase P RNA is filed under the name Candidatus Atribacteria bacterium. Its description in RNAcentral is "RNase P RNA component class A". It matches the Rfam family "Bacterial RNase P class A". Rfam says of the family: Ribonuclease P (RNase P) is a ubiquitous endoribonuclease, found in archaea, bacteria and eukarya as well as chloroplasts and mitochondria. Its best characterised activity is the generation of mature 5'-ends of tRNAs by cleaving the 5'-leader elements of precursor-tRNAs. Lineage: Bacteria; Pseudomonadati; Atribacterota; Atribacteria. The record is from RNAcentral.
UAAGUAGAUCAGGUAAUCGCGGAAGAAAUAGUAUUUCUUCCGAGGAAAGUCCGAGCUCCACAGGGCAGAGUGCUGGGUAACCCCCAGUGAGGGUAACCUUAAGGAAAGUGCUACAGAAAAUACACAGCCCGGCACUCAAGUUUAAUAUUAAAGAUAAAUAAUAGUUCCUGCAUUAAAAAUGGCUGUAGGAUUAUCUGUUAGAAAUGAUUUAAUGUUAAGUUUGAGUGCCGGGUAAAGGUGAAAAGGCAGGGUAAGAGCCUACCAGUUGUUAGGUGACUAACAAGCUUAGUAAACCCCACUCGGAGCAAGACCAAAUAGGAAGAGCUGUGGUGGCCCGCUGAAUCUUCGGGUAGGUCGCAAGAGGUGUAAGGUAACUUACAUCCCAGAUAGAUGAUUACCACCCUUAUAAUUUAAUAAGGGGACAGAACUCGGCUUAUACGAUCUACUUAUCAA